Molecule: long non-coding RNA, 987 nt
Filed under: Haliotis rubra (blacklip abalone)
Lineage: Eukaryota; Metazoa; Mollusca; Gastropoda; Lepetellida; Haliotidae
Description: uncharacterized LOC124256121
Source: RNAcentral
AAGCCUGCGAAUAACCAGGUGGAGAUAACUCCAUAUCUGGCAGAGGACGAACUUCUGCAGUUCUCCCUCAAGAACGGCAUCUCAACUACUGGCUACGCGCCGUUCGGGGCACCAGGACAGAACUAUGUAUCCAAGGAUGCACCCAACCUCUGGAAAACCCGACCAUUGUCGAAAUAGGAAGGAAAUACAACAAAUCCUCAGCUCAGGUGAUCCUCAGAUAUGGCAUACAGAGAGGCUAUGCUGUAAUUCCCAAGAGUACGAAUCCAGCUCAUCUGGCCCAGAACAUGGAUAUAUUUGACUUCAAGCUCAGUGAGGAGGAUAUGAAGACAAUGCUAGCUCUGGACAGAGGCCUUAGAAACAACUAUCAAAAAUUCGAAUGGAAAGAUCAUCCCUUCUUUCCCUAUAAGGAGUGACCUUGGACGGCGCUGAAGAUCACACGGUCAGACAAUCUACGGGGUCGAGGACGACUAUUAUCUGCACCAGUUGUUCCUGAUAUGUGUGUGAUCGUCUUCAAUGUGUAGCGAACACCGUUCAUAAUUUAUGCAUAGAGGGGAUGAUGAUGAUUUUAAGGGGGUGGGCACCCAUUUGUCCUGGGGAGCAUAAUUACACAACAAAUGUACACACCGAUUCAUUCACCUUUGUAAUAAUGGGGCGACUUGUGCUUGCUUUAAUGGCGUUCUUAAAAUCCUUAAAAUGGUGCUCUGUAUAAAUGGUACAAAAGUGGAUAUAUUGUACCUUCGCGUAACUUUUUAUGUUACAAGGAAUAUUACAAACAAAACAAUAGUUUGAUUAACCGAGUUUAUCCUGUGUUAUACAAUUAUUCAAAUUGCUGAACCAAUAUGUAAUGGUUGUUGCUGCAGUAGUAUAAACAAUGGGGGUACGGGACCAGCCUAUAUAAGGCAAGGAAUCAAUAAGUAUCCAUUCCUAACUCAUAUUAAUUUAUAAAUCCAUAACACAACUACUUUUCAUCUCCCCUGUAAAAAGUAA